GGAUCUCACUAAUAUGCUAAUGGCCCAUGUCUUUCAAGGGAAGGCAAGGGGGUCCCCAGGUGGACAGCAGGCUUUCUGAGGUGUGCAUGGAGGGAGCGUGAACCCAUGUCCUUUGUACAGUGCGGGCAAGGGGAGGAUACAAGUUGGGAACGGCAGAAAUGCCUUCAGGAGAUGCACUCUCAGUUCUUUCAGCAUGUUGGAGUCUUUGGACGUGCUGGCUUGAAUUCAAGACGGUGCUUUCUAAACCCAUUUCGGCCGUUCCUUCGAGAACCUUCAUUUACUUAAGGAGUGAGACCAUUUUCCUCAGCAUUUAUCCAGAAAUGGAUUGUAUUACUUGUCAUUAAAAGUAUCUCAAAAGUAACACCGUGGGAAGAGACAAAUCAGGUGGGUAUCAAUUUUUCUACUAUUGUUUUUCUUUUUCUUUUUUUCUUUUUUCUGCUUUUUAGGGUCACACCUGUGGCAUAUUCGAUCCCAGGCUUGGGAUCGAAUUGGCGCUGCAGCUGCCAGCCUACACCACAGCCACAGCAACACAGGAUCUGAGCCACAUCUUCAACUUACACCGCAGCUCACAGCAAUGCCAGAUCCUCAACCCACUGAGCGAGGCCAGGGCUUGAAGCCGUGUUCUUAUGGAUAAUAGUCCAUGAGGUUCAUUACCACUGAGCCAUAAUGGGAACUCCUCCACUGUCAUUUGUAACAAGAUCAUUUGUUUUUUUUUGUUUUUAUGGCUGUACCUGUGGCACAUGGAAGUUCUCAGGUUAGGGGGUUGAAUCAGAGCUGCAGCUGCAGGCCCUAUGCCACAGCCAUGGCAACACUAGAUCUGAAGCAUAUCUGUAAGCUACACCACAGCUUGUGGCUGGAUUCUUAACUGAAUUUUGGUUAAGACUCUUAGUUACAAGUGACUGAAACUCCACUCAAACCAGCAUAUGCAAUAAAGGGAAUUUGUGGGCUCACAUAGUUGGGAAGCCUCAGUGGGUAGAGCAGGAAGAACUGGAUCAGAGAUUCAGACAUGGCCAUGGGACUCUCCUUCCACACCCCUUGCCUCUGUUCAUCUCUGCUUACACUUUUGGAUUGAAUAGUUUUUUUUUUUUUAAAGUAUCUUACUUGAGAAUUCUAGUGAGGUAGAGAACUUUGGUUAGAUUAGCAUGUGCCAGAUGGCUGGCUGGUAUUUUGGUCACUAACAGUGCAAGUGAUGGAAAAACUUUGGAGAAAAUUAUAAAAAGUCAUCUUCUUGCGCCCCAUCCCCCUACUUUUCUGGGACAAAAGUGUCAAACACUGGGCAUAAAACAUGAAACUGAGGCCCUGGGAGUUGGGGGCACUGCCCAGCAUCAUACACUAGUGCAUGGAUAUUUGUCUUCAGACCUGUGCUCUUAGCCGUUAAGUUAAACAGAGUUGCCUGAUAUAAUAAUUAGUGAUAAUGUCUAAUGAAUGGAUAGAUAUUGUUGCAAAGAUAUUAAACACAUGAGAAAGAAGGAAAGAGGGAAAAUACCACUUCAUAAUUUCCCCCCAUAUUCGAUGAUUCCCAGCCCAGCUUCCAAGGGUCCAGCAGAGUCCAUCAGGGUUGGGAAAGGAUUUGCCUGGGUCACAUCAUGGCUGAGCCCAAAAUAGUCAGUUUGGGUUCAAGGCUACCCACUAAUUCAACCCUUGGGAGUUUAGUUCAGGGAUGGAGCUUGGGAGCAAGAGUGGGGUCCACUUCUGGAAAGAACAGGAAAAAUUUGAGGAGGAGGAGACACUGCUUGAACUCCCUCGGUGGCUCUGACCUGAGCACCAAGUCUGGAAAAGUUCAGCCCCUCUGUGACCCUCUGCGGGCUGCUCUGGGACCAGGCCUCCUUGGGUUGACCAGUGUGUUCAUCCCUCACGGAACUAGAGAGGAUGGACGGAUCUUGAACUCCCAGGACUAAAACGGACUUUAGGGAGGGCUGGAUGAAAUGUGGGAUGGGGAGAUACGUAUGAGUUUGUCUCCCUUUGCAAUUUUUUUUUUUUUGCUUUUGUUAUUUUAAAAUUGUUGUUAAAUAUAUAUAACGUAAAAUUGACCAUUUUCUCUUUUUUAUGGAAAUAUAGUUGAUUUACAGUGUUUCAGGUAUACAGUAAACUAAGUUAUAUAUGUGUGUGUGUGUGUAUGUGUGUGUGUGUGUAUUCUUUUUCAGUCUUUUCCAUUAUGUGUUACUACAAGAUAUUGAAUAUAGUGCCCUGUGCUAUGCAGUAGGUCCUUGUUACCUAUCAAUUUUAUAUAUGGUAGUGUGUGUCUGUUAACCCAAAUUCCUAAUUUAUCCCUCCUACAAUUCCCCUUUGGUAACUAUACAUUUGUUUUCUUUUUCUUUUUGCUUUUUAGGGCAUAUGGAGAUUCUCAGGCUAGGGGUCUAAUCUGAGCCACAGCUGCUGGCCUACACCCCAGCCACAGCAAUGUGGGAUCUGAGCCAUGUCUGCAACCUACACCACAGCUCACGGCAACAUCAGGUCCUUAACCCAUUGAGUGCGGCCAGGGAUCGAACCCGCAACCUUGUGGUUCCUAGUGGGGUUCGUUUCUGCUGUGCCACAACGGGAACUCUACAUUUGUUUUCUAUGUCUGUGAGUCUGUUUCUUAUUUGUAAAUAAGUUCACUUCUGUCAUUUUUUUGGAUCCCAUUUAUAAGUUAUAUCAUGUGAUACUUGUCUUUCUCUGACUUCGCUUAGUGAUAGGUCUAUCCAUGUUGCUACCAAUGGCAUUAUUUCAUUCUUUUUACGGCUGAGUAAUAUUCCAUUGUGUAUAUGUACCACAUCUUCUUUAUCCAUUCUUCUGUUGAUGGGCAUUUAGGUUGCUUCCAUGUCUUGGCUAUUGUAAAUAGUGCUGCUCUGAACAUUGGGGUACACGUAUCUUUUCAAAUUAAGAGUUUUCAUCUUUUCUGGAUCACAUGGUAAUUCUGUUUUUUGUUCUCUGAGUUACUUCUAUACUGUUGUCCAUAGUGGCUGCAAAAGUGACCAUUUUUAUGUGUACAGUUCGGUGGAAUUAAAUACACUCUCCAUGUUGUGCAACUAUCACCACUAUCUAUUUCUAAAACUUUUCCAUUUUCCCAAAGAGAAAUGCCCCAUUCCCCUUCCCCCCAGCCCCUGGUCACCUCUGUUCUACUUUGUAAAUUUGGCUACUCGAGUUUCCUCAUGUCAGUGGAAUUGUAAGAUAUAUGUGCCUUUGUGUCUUGGCUUCUAUCAUUCAGCAUAAUGUGCUCAAGCUUCCUCCACGUAGUGUGGGUCAGAACUUCAUUUCUUUGUUAAAACUGGAAGACUGGAGAGGAGAUGGCAUGAGAUGGUCUGGGCUUGCCCGCCUCUGCAUAGCACAGGCUUCCUGCCCUUGAAGUUCCAAGUUGUUGCUUGGCGGCAUCCUUGCCAGUUCCCAAGGCCAGUGAGUGGUGUGAUUCAUCGCGCAUCAGAAAAACAAAGGUUCCUCUCACCCCAACCUCGUCCCCAAUUCUUUCUCUUCAAAAUACAGAGACUAGAAGAUCUACUUGGUUUAACAGUGAGUGGGGGACAGUGGAAGUCAAGGUAGAAAAGACCUGUUAAUUAAUUAUUCACACUUUGCUACGAAUCAGGGUCAUCUGAUCUUUCUUCAGUGCCCUCAGCAGAACCAAGACAAUAGGAAUUACAGAGUUGGAACAGAAAGUAGGGUAAGGCUGAAGUUGUGGAGCCCAGGUGUGGCAGCCUUAUUCCGAUACCAUCAAAGCCCCAGGCGUGUGGGGAGAAGGAAGGAGAGACUGGAUACCUGGAAUUUCUCCUCUGAGGAGAAACCAGAGGAAAUGGCCUUGCUCUGGCUUGUCUUAGCACCAGACCGGACACCUCUCUUGCCCACCCAGCGGCUGUCAUUUAAAGCAUUUAAGGGAGCUCCCCUUGUGGUUCAGUGGUAAAAGACUUGGCUAGGAUCCAUGAGGAAGCGGGUUUGAUCCCUAGCCUUGCUCAAUGGGUAUUGCCGUGAGCUGUGGUGUAGGUUGCAGAUGGGGCUUAGGCCCCACAUUGCUGUGGCUGUGGCUUAGAUCCAUGACUGCAACUCCCUAGCCUGGGAACUUCCAUAUGCCACAGGUGUGGCCCUAAGAAGAACCAAAAAAAAAAAAAAAAAAA
This 4082-nucleotide long non-coding RNA is filed under the name Sus scrofa (pig). RNAcentral's name for it is "lncRNA (ENSSSCG00055014453.1)". The record is from RNAcentral. Lineage: Eukaryota; Metazoa; Chordata; Mammalia; Artiodactyla; Suidae.